This 321-nucleotide ribosomal RNA is filed under the name uncultured Geothrix gel band DL970. RNAcentral's name for it is "bacterial SSU rRNA". It matches the Rfam family "Bacterial small subunit ribosomal RNA", at positions 199 to 501 of the family's 1533-position model. Lineage: Bacteria; Pseudomonadati; Acidobacteriota; Holophagae; Holophagales; Holophagaceae. The record is from RNAcentral.
GGUGAAACCUGGGGACCGCAAGGCCUGGGGCAANNAGAGGAUCCUGCGUCUGAUUAGCUAGUUGGCGGGGUAAUGGCCCACCAAGGCGACGAUCAGUAGCCGGCCUGAGAGGGUGAUCGGCCACACUGGAACUGAGACACGGUCCAGACUCCUACGGGAGGCAGCAGUGGGGAAUUUUGCGCAAUGGACGAAAGUCUGACGCAGCAACGCCGCGUGGGUGAUGAAGGUCUUCGGACUGUAAAACCCUGUCGUCAGCGACGAAGGUUGGGGGGUUAAUAACCCUUCAGCUUGACGGUACCUGGAGAGGAAGCCCCGGCUAAC